Molecule: long non-coding RNA, 427 nt
Filed under: Mytilus galloprovincialis (Mediterranean mussel)
Lineage: Eukaryota; Metazoa; Mollusca; Bivalvia; Mytilida; Mytilidae
Source: RNAcentral
GUUUUGUUAUAUGCCGGGUAAUAAAAAGAGUUUUACUGCUGCUUGCUCAAUGUGCAGUGGCAUUUACAUGAUGAUGCUCAUUCUUUUCAUGUUUUGCAGACUAGUAAAACAGUCAGUUGUGAAUUAUUAACACAACUUCAUUUAUAAGAAAGGUAACAAACUGAGUUUCUGAGGUAUACUGGUAAGAAUUCAAAGUUUAAACUUCAGUGACCUCUGGCCUGUUUAUGUAAGCUUAAUUUAAGGAAGUAAUGUCCUUGAUAAAGUCAUCUGAAGCACAUGACUUCUUGUCUCAAUAGAGAAAUAUAAUCUUCCCUCUUAUCUUGUACUUCUCUAGUACAAGGGGCUCUUGUAAAAUUACAUUUUCGACUGGUACAGAAAAUAACAUACUUGAGAUGAAUAGAAAUUCGUAAGACUUCUUAAAACUAGC